AGAGUUUGAUCAUGGCUCAGAACGUACGCUGGCGGCACGCCUAAUACAUGCAAGUCGAACGAGGUAGCAAUACCUAGUGGCAGACGGGUGAGUAACAUGUGGGUACCUUCCCUUUGGUGAGGAAUAACACGAGGAAACUUGUGCUAAUACCUCAUAAGUCUUUACGGAGAAAGCUUUAUGCGCCAAUGGAUGGGCCCGCACUUGAUUAGUUAGUUGGUAAGGUAAUGGCUUACCAAGACUUUGAUCAAUAGCUGAUUUGAGAGGAUGAUCAGCCACAUUGGGACUGAGACACGGCCCAAACUCCUACGGGAGGCAGCAGUAGGGAAUCUUGCACAAUGGAGGAAACUCUGAUGCAGCGAUGCCGCGUGAGUGAAGAAGGCCCUUGGGUUGUAAAGCUCUUUCGUCGGGGAAGAAAAUGACUGUACCCGAAUAAGAAGGUCCGGCUAACUUCGUGCCAGCAGCCGCGGUAAUACGAAGGGACCUAGCGUAGUUCGGAAUUACUGGGCUUAAAGAGUUCGUAGGUGGUUAAAAAAGUUGGUGGUGAAAUCCCAGAGCUUAACUCUGGAACUGCCAUCAAAACUUUUUAGCUAGAGUGUGAUAGAGGAAAGCAGAAUUUCUAGUGUAGAGGUGAAAUUCGUAGAUAUUAGAAAGAAUACCGAUUGCGAAGGCAGCUUUCUGGAUCAUUACUGACGCUGAGGAACGAAAGCAUGGGUAGCGAAGAGGAUUAGAUACCCUCGUAGUCCAUGCUGUAAACGAUGUGUGUUAGAUGUUGGAAAUUUAUUUUCAGUAUCGCAGUGAAAACGUUAAACACACCGCCU
Molecule: ribosomal RNA, 818 nt
Filed under: marine metagenome
Description: bacterial SSU rRNA
Rfam family: Bacterial small subunit ribosomal RNA
Source: RNAcentral